Molecule: long non-coding RNA, 1131 nt
Filed under: Gouania willdenowi (blunt-snouted clingfish)
Lineage: Eukaryota; Metazoa; Chordata; Actinopteri; Blenniiformes; Gobiesocidae
Description: lncRNA (ENSGWIG00000007801.1)
Source: RNAcentral
AUGAUGGAUCACACUCGUCUUCGCCGUGAUGUCCGUCGGCCUCGCUACCUCGAUGACUUCCUGGUGAAUCUCCCGCCACGUGAUCUUCCCUCUUCUACACUCCAUGGCCACUCCACUGAGGGAGCAGCUAUCCAACCUCCUGCUCCAGUUAGACCCACUCCUCAGAACCUCAGCUCCGAAGCAGUCAUGUCAGCUCUGCAGGAGAUGAAAGAGGAGAACAUCCAACUCAGGCGAGAUAUGCAAAGUCUUUUCCAUUCUCUCUCCCUGGGAUCAGCGCCUCAGCCUCAACAUCUCGAUCCAAGACAUUCGACUCAGUAUGAGGACAGAGCCACCUUAUAUGGACCUUAUCGUCCUCCAGAAAAAAUAUCUACUCCUAACUACAAUCUUCAAGCACCAGUGGAUGACCCUCCACCCUGGCCUGAAACAAUACCAAUACCUCCUUGGAGCGAGCCUCUACCUCCUCCACCUCCAGCUGACCUGCCUCUACCUCCUCCACCUCCAGCUGACCUGCCGCUACCUCGGCCACCGCCUCCGGUGUCAUAUCUACCUUCAUAUGAGGCUGAGUCUCAAUCCGCUCCAUCGUAUGUAGAGCCUUAUACUCUUCCCCUCAAUCCACCCUCGGUGGAGAUGACAUACAGAGGGCCAAAGCCUAACAUUCCAUGUUUCACAGAUGAAGAUCCACGUCAGUUUGCCCGCCUCAAGAUAGCGCUCAACAACAUCUUGCCCAGAGAUGCAACUGAGUGGUUCAAAUACCAAAUACUAGUUGAUCACCUCAAAUCAGAAGAUUCUCUCCUCAUUGCAGACUCUUAUAGUAAUAGUCCAACUCCCUAUUCGAAGACAAUGGCCUCACUUACUGAAAUGUAUGGACAACCUCACAAACUAGCACUGCAGCGCAUCAAUGAGGUUCUGGCUGAGCCUCCAAUCAGAAGUGGGGACAGUCGAAGUUUUCGUCUCUUCGGCCUCAAAGUCAGAGCUCUGGUCGGAAUGUUAGAUCAACUGGGCAAGGAAGGCAAGACUGAAUUGGAUUGCGGGUCACACACCUCACGACUUCUGUCCAAGUUGCCGCAUGAACUCAGAGCACAGUUCAAGCGCUACAUAAACCCUCUUUGCACUCCGAUACCAACCUUGGUG